CUGGGCUCGAAAUGCAGAUGACCAUCGGCGAAAGUCGACUUCCGCAAGGACCUCUGUAUAGGUGCUGCAUGGCUGUCGUCAGCUCGUGUCGUGAGAUGUUGGGUUAAGUCCCGCAACGAGCGCAACCCUUGUUCUCUGUUGCCAUCAGGUCAAGCUGGGCACUCUGAGGAGACUGCCGGUGACAAACCGGAGGAAGGUGGGGAUGACGUCAAGUCAGCAUGGCCUUUAUGUCCAGGGCUACACACGUGCUACAAUGGCCAGUACAAAGCGUCGCAAGCCCGCGAGGGUGAGCCAAUCGCAUAAAGCUGGUCUCAGUUCGGAUUGCAGGCUGCAACUCGCCUGCAUGAAGUUGGAAUCGCUAGUAAUCGCGGAUCAGCAUGCCGCGGUGAAUACGUUCCC
Molecule: ribosomal RNA, 399 nt
Filed under: uncultured bacterium
Lineage: Bacteria
Description: bacterial SSU rRNA
Rfam family: Bacterial small subunit ribosomal RNA
Source: RNAcentral